ACGAAGUUGCUCUUUGGGAAGCCCUCGGGUGGAACUGUGAGUAUACUUAGUGGCGGACGGGUGAGUAACGCGUGAGCAAUCUGCCCUGCAAUGGGGGACAACAGUUGGAAACGACUGCUAAUACCGCAUAAGACCACGAAACCGCAUGGUUUAGAGGUAAAAGGAUUCAUUCGAUGCAGGAUGAGCUCGCGUCCCAUUAGAUAGUUGGUGAGGUAACGGCCCACCAAGUCAACGAUGGGUAGCCGACCUGAGAGGGUGAUCGGCCACAUUGGAACUGAGAAACGGUCCAAAUUCCUACGGGAGGCAGCAGUGGGGAAUAUUGGGCAAUGGGGGAAACCCUGACCCAGCAACGCCGCGUGAAGGAAGAAGGCCUUCGGGUUGUAAACUUUUGUCCUAUGGGACGAAAAAAAUGACGGUACCAUAGGAGGAAGCUCCGGCUAACUACGUGCCAGCAGCCGCGGUAAUACGUAGGGAGCAAGCGUUGUCCGGAAUUACUGGGCGUAAAGGGUGCGUAGGUGGCCAUGUAAGUCAGGUGUGAAAGACCGGGGCUCAACCCCGGGGUUGCACUUGAAACUGUGUGGCUUGAGUACAGGAGAGGGAAGUGGAAUUCCUAGUGUAGCGGUGAAAUGCGU
RNAcentral lists this ribosomal RNA (632 nucleotides) under uncultured Bacillota bacterium. RNAcentral's name for it is "bacterial SSU rRNA". It matches the Rfam family "Bacterial small subunit ribosomal RNA", at positions 66 to 691 of the family's 1533-position model. The record is from RNAcentral. Lineage: Bacteria; Bacillati; Bacillota.